Molecule: long non-coding RNA, 2028 nt
Organism: Hippocampus zosterae (dwarf seahorse)
Lineage: Eukaryota; Metazoa; Chordata; Actinopteri; Syngnathiformes; Syngnathidae
Exons: 2
Source: RefSeq, a predicted model, not a curated record
GCAACGGGUUGGUCGCAGCUGGGAUUCUGGGGCCCAAUGGACGGUGGACUCGAACACUUUCGCGCACCCCGUCACCUGAUAACAUGAUAAACUGUCCCCGAAAGGGUUACGGCAAGUGAGCGUACAAAGUCGUGAAACUGCAUCCGCAGCAUUUGCUUCUCAUGAACUUGCCCGGCCUGAAAUUCGGAAAUGAAAACGAAGGCAAUGUCAUGAGCAGCGUCCAGGUGUCAUCGGCAAGGAAAUACUUUGGCCAGCAGAGGGCAGCCUUUUCAUUGUGACUGAGCACUUUCAGUCCUGUCUUUACGUCACCUUUACAGCCUGGCUUUAGUUUCCCUGCAUCUUCUCAUUUAUUUAUUGGAACCCCAGAGCCGAGUGCUUUGUGUAGCAUCGAGAACAAACAAGAGGCCAAACUCGGUCUAUUGAAAUUAGAGAGCCAAAGGAGAAUUGGAAACAUGACAAUGACAUGAUCAUCGAGCAAUGUUGACAAAUGGCAUCAUAUCCCCCCAUGAUGAAUACAUAUCAGAUUCAUCCAAUGUUCACGACACUGUUUUGAAGCAAGCUGCGCUGGAACAGUACCGUAUAUUUUGGUCGUGUGCCAUCCAUUCAAUACCUGAAUACUCCCAACUCCUGCUUGAACUCUUUCUAGCAGGAGAAUCACACGCCAAAUGGCAAACAAUCAAUGAAGUGAAACGGUUUCCUUGAUUUUGUUAAUAUAUACAUAUAUAUAUUUUUAUCCUAUGAUGUAAGACCUAAGGACAGGCUGCAAAUGAUAGAAGGGAAGAUAUUUUAGAUCAGGGGUGUCUAAACUUGUUUUGUUGGAGAAAUAGAGAAAUGGAAGGAUGAAAGGGACGAAAGGGCUACUUUUAGAAACACGCUUAGAAAGCCAUUUGAUAUUGUUCGUAUGGUCUAGUUCAUUCCUUCAACUUUCUGUUGAAGGUGUCAAGGAAAAUGUUGAGGAUUUUUUGGGGGGGUGGCCAUCGUCACCUUUUGAAACUAACUUUGUGGCCCAUAUCAAAUGUCAUAUAUAUAUGUACAUAUACACGUUUCAUUCUCUAUUUUCAUUUUCUGUUUGUCCUUUUUUUGUGCCCCCGUUCCGUUUUAGGUGGCAAAGCGAUAUUUCGUUUCUGUUUUUCAAAUUGAAAUACGACACUGGAAAAAAAACAAAACAGUGCAUUGAAUUUUUCUCCAUUUAAUUUUGUGGUUGCACAAAAUAAGAUUGUCUAGAUCCAGAUCCAGACUUUAUUUUUCCUUAAUUAAAAAAAAAAAUUAAAUGUUUCAUAUCUACUCCCAUGGCAGGCCGGAAACCGAGGAAAAAAAUGUUUGGAUCGUUUCAAGGAAGUUAAUGUGCAAAACAUUCUUUGUUUAUUUUUGUCACAAUUUGCAUGGAUUGCUUGUCUUGCCCUUGUUCAUGUUAGGCAUCCCAAAACAUUGUGUUGAACAGGACCUGCGUUUCCCCCCCCCCCCUCCUCUUUUUGUUGUCGUUUUUGUCAUUGCAUGUGUAGCAACGGCUCAUUGUAUUUGGUGCUGCUCCCAGCAUGCAUGAAUUUUUGAAUCGCGCGUGUCAAAACUGAAUCCACACCGUGCUACUCGGUCUGCCUAUUUGGCUCCGUUCGUGUCUUGCCGCUCGGUAGACUUUUGUCAUGCUGGCUCGCGCUGCUAAUGAUGAAGUCAUUUCAACCUGACUCCAACGUUUUAUGUUGAUCUCUCAUUUGAUAUUUAAGACGUGAAAACAGUGGCAAUGACAAAAAAGAGCACCGUCCUCGUGUGUAUGAGCGCAGACUCCCGCAGAUGCGAACGAGUUAGUCGAGAGACCGGAGAGGGAGGCGGCGUGAAUGUCUGUUGACCUGUGGAAACAAAUACGCGUGCAGAUGACCGUUUCUCCUGUCCCAAAAAACGAAUAUAUCAAUUUCCGUCGGUAUAGCGACAGGCUGAUGUGACCAUACUGGCACUCCAAUGAGCAAAUGCAUUUUAAAGUCCAAGCAUUCUGUGCUUUAGCCCCGCCCCCCAAUCCCCUCCACCCCCAAUAAA